Molecule: ribosomal RNA, 407 nt
Filed under: Verrucomicrobiota bacterium
Lineage: Bacteria; Pseudomonadati; Verrucomicrobiota
Description: Verrucomicrobia bacterium partial 16S ribosomal RNA
Rfam family: Bacterial small subunit ribosomal RNA
Source: RNAcentral
UGGGGAAUAUUGGACAAUGGAGGGAACUCUGAUCCAGCAAUUCUGUGUGUGUGAAGAAGGUUUUAGGACUGUAAAACACUUUUAGUAGGGAAGAAAAAAAUGACGGUACCUACAGAAGAAGCAACGGCUAAAUACGUGCCAGCAGCCGCGGUAAUACGUAUGUUGCGAGCGUUAUCCGGAAUUAUUGGGCUUAAAGGGCAUCUAGGCGGUAAGACAAGUUGAAGGUGAAAACCUGUGGCUCAACCAUAGGCUUGCCUACAAAACUGUUGAACUAGAGUACUGGAAAGGUGGCUGGAACUACACGAGUAGAGGUGAAAUUCGUAGAUAUGUGUAGGAAUGCCGAUGAUGAAGAUAACUCACUGGACAGAAACUGACGCUGAAGUGCGAAAGCUAGGGGAGCAAACAGG